UAGUUAGACAAACAAGUUUCAAAUGAUGC
This 29-nucleotide non-coding RNA is filed under the name Rattus norvegicus (Norway rat). The record is from RNAcentral. Lineage: Eukaryota; Metazoa; Chordata; Mammalia; Rodentia; Muridae.